CCAGGUAUUUUCUUCUUCGUAUUAAUAAUUUUGAGAUGCUGCUUCUGAACGUUCGAUACUUGCACAUCUAAUUCCCACUGUUUCCUACUAAGUGUUUUUCUUAUUUUUAUGUGUCUUUUUAGUAGCGGAACAUUAACAACUGCAACCCUCUGACAGAACCAGGCACUGAGAGCGUUAGAUUCUACAAGCAACCUCUGUUAGCAGUUAGCAACAACUGUUAGCAGUUCCAUUUGACAAGUUACACGGGAGAGCAUGGAGGGAAAUAGACAGGAAGAACUAACUUAGCCAGAGCAUCCAGAUCCGUUUGAGACUAUCACCUCUGUAAAAAACUCCUGCUGAUUCUGCAAGACAUUUAGUGUCCUCCUCCAACCUCCAAUAUACCACCAGAGACUUCAGAGCUACCUCACAAAAAUGUAAUUGCUUCCAUCUAGAGGAACAAGGACAAUCAAGGAGGAAAAAGUUUUUAGCCUGCUAAGUCUACUGCUUAACUGAGGAGGAUGUCAUUGAGUCUGUGCUUGACAAGUGGCAAGUGCCUGCAGUGACCCAAGUGAACGAGCAGCACACACGACGUCUGAGCAUGAAUUCUUUCUUCUUGGUGAACUUCCCAGAUGCACAUCUCAUUGCCCCACUGCCAUCCCUGUAGUUAUGUCCACUUUGAGACGGCAGCACACUUCUUUGGCCGCACAGUGCUGCUACCAUUUGUAGAGUAAACAAAGCAAGUAACCAUUUGACCCUAAAUAACAAGAACAUGCAUUAGUCACUGAACUACUCAAAGACGUGGUAUUUGACUCUUAACUUGUUAUAUCCAGGGAACUACAGAGCACUGCAGAUUUAAUAUGAGCGAUCUUGUUUGUCUUUGCAAGGGAGAGGCUUCAAAGAGGCAGAGAUCAGAAUUUUAUUCCUUCAGGUGGUAGUCAUGUGGGGACUCAGUGAAGGAGUCCUGGCUCAGCUCCUGGCAAAGAGGGGAGAAGCAUCCAAUCCAGUGGAGCCCAGAGACAGAGGACCACAUCUAGCCUUCCCUUUUCAAGGAAUUGCUUCUGGAAUUAAAAUUAUCAGCUUUGAAGAAUGAUGUAGGAUGGGGAACAAAACUGGAUGGAUCUUGAGGCCUUCCGGGAGGAAAAAAGAAAAAGAAAGGAAGAAAAAAACAAUUAAUGUCUUGGACUAGUGCAACUUACUAUAAAUGUUCUUGCAGGAGCAAGGCUAUGCACUCCUUCAGUGCAUCCAGAUGAGAGGCCUCAUGAGAGCAAAUUAAAUUAGAACAUUGCAUUGUUUCUGGGUUCAAAUGGAGAAAAAGGUGAAACUUAAGAAGGGCACUUUCUCCUGCUCCUCCCUGCCCCAACGUGAGAACUGUUGGCAGGCCAGCCUGUAAGAACUAGCCCUUUUAAAAACAUACAGUGUGCCUUCCUGCAUGCCCUCUUAAUGUGGCUUUUCCAUGAAGUUGGCAGGUUCUCAUAGCUUUCCCCAGUGCCAGUGCUGUAGCAAGGAAGAUAUUUUACUCCAUAAAGUAGGCAAAUUCCACGCUGGAGUCUGCCUGCCAACCCUGCUUGGUUUAGCCCUCAAACACCCGUGGUGGUUGUGCAUUUCCCUUGUUCUGACUGUCUGCAGCUCUAGCUGAAGCAUUUGUUUGUCUUGAGAUCUCUGCAUAACUAGGAGUUACAGCCUUCCCUGGCUGUAAAGCUGUCUCUCCUUAUGAUUUUGUGAAAGGCUGACUUGUUGCAUCAACUCCACUUUUCCUGCCCACAUAAAACCUUAUUUUGGAGCGUACUGGAGCACCUUACAUCCAAACCUAGGUCCCAAUCAAAGGGAGAGUUAAAUACUCAUCUAUUGACUUUGAGGGAACUGUUCAUGCACUUAAGUUUAAGCCUUGCAUGAUCUUGGUUCUUCCAAGAAUAUCUGCCUAGAAACAAGUGACUAUGGCUUCAAAGGUCUCGAUUCUCUGACUUCUCUGUGAAGCUGGCGCUUUGUGUUGAGAUGCAUUUCUUACUCUGAAACUUUACAAUCGAUGAGUGACAUCCUGACAGCAUGAAAGGCAGUGACAGAGCUCUUGUUGACUACAGUGAGAUAUUCUUUUGCUAUCAUCAUUUUAUAAGUACUUGUCAGGAUGUCCCAUUUUGCAACACAGAUUGCAAUGGCUAGACUGAAAAGCCGGUCCGAGAUUUCUGAGUCAACUAGUGCUGCAUUCCAAAUUUUUUUUACUGGAAAGAAUUGGGGGAAUUGGUUGGCAUAAUCACCUUUGCUUGUAUAGCUUUUAAGUCUACGAUUUUUUUUCAUUAUGUUUCUGAGUGGGUAUGCAAAGUACCGACAGCCAAACAAAAAUUGCCUUUCACUGGCACGUCUACAUCAAAGCCAGUCUCCACAUACUUCACUAACAAGAAAAUACUCCUGGUAUUCAUACUUUUGAGGUACAAAACCAUUUUUAUCUCAGGAUGAAAUAUUGUGUAUGAUGUUUGCUAAUGAUGGGUGGAGCUAAUAUUUCCUUAGGGACAAAGCCAUCACACCAGUGCUGAUGGAAAACUCAUUACAAGGUGGGGAAUGGCACUGGCCACCAAGCAGGGUGGUGUGUGGAGGUUCAUACAUGGACUCAUCAGCUCUAGAGCAGGGCAAGCCGCUGUGCUCAUGCAGCAACUCUUCUCUGCCUGCUGCUGCACCAGAGGUCUGUUGCAUUAAAUAGGGGUUAUAAAAGCAGAUGAGAAAGCAGACAAAUUAACCUGGGUGCUCACCCUCCAAGUGUAUGAAGCCAACAGAAUUUGGAGGAAAAUCUGACAGAUGCCAUGGUGGAACAGGGGAAAGCAGCUGAGGUGGUACAUAACAGUAGUAUCUUGGCAUGCUGACAGCUACAACGGUGCACACAUGUAUGUACUGGGCUUUCUAUAGAAAAUUGCUGACACAAAGGGCUCAUGGCAACCUUGCAGAGGGAUUCGGUGUUAGCUUCAGUGGGCUGUGAGGGAACCUAAAGGUCUCAACAAGCCUACACAAGCUUGAGUCACUGAAAAGAUAGGAGUGUGCAACUUUACUUAAGUUGCCUUCUGGUCCAGUAGCAACUGAGGUUCAUGACCAGAGUCCAGUCCUAUAUUCAUCUUUACCAAUGGUGCUUACAUGUAGAUUACUGUACUGCUUCUGAACUGGAGGCAUUGUAUGUUGACCUCAUUUACAAAUGGUAAGAAAAAUAACAAAAUAAACUCAUGGGAAAAACAAUGGAAGCAAUACCCAUCUGAGUGUGAGCAGAGUGACAUACCAACAGAGAGAGAAAAUAGAAAGAGAAGUGAAGGAGGUGGAGAAAAUACAUCAAACAGAGUGUGCCCCAUAUUCCUACCUGAAUGUUUCUUGGAGGACAAGGGGCGUUCUAGCCUUUCCCAUCGUGACAGAACCACUUCGCAGAAAACACAACACAGGAACAGUCAGCAAGAGUUUUUCCCUCAAGGGGCAAUGCUUAUAACCAGAAAUCAAAACAAGUUAAUAUAGAGGCAACACUGACAAAAAAAAGUACUACCAAAAAUCCCUGGCAUAGGACCACCUAGUUCAGUAAUAAAGUUUCGAUGUGUGGUAGCAUCCUUGUGCUCUCAUUUUCCUAGAAGAUGCCUUCCCAUAGCACUACAGACAGAUUAGACCUGACCUGAACGUUGAAGGAGAGGUGCUUAUUCUCUAGCCAUUGUGCUAGUAAGAGCCAUGCAAGAUCGUAGCCUCCCAGCCACACGCUGUGUCUAGCUGUUGAAUGAUUUAGAGGCACUGAUGUUCAAAGCAGCUCAGUCAGGCACCUGUGAAACUCAGCUCUUCUAUCUAGCACCAUUUUGAGGCAAAUGCUGCUAGUUCAUUUGGAUUGGCAAUACUUCACUCAGAUAAUUCAUUAUUGUAAAACAUAUCUAAUUACUGAACUAGCAGAUAGCUGGAGUGAUUCUUGUCCUAACUCCCAGUAGUUUUUUCCCAAUCAUAAUUGGUAUCAAAUAGUUUCAGUCCACCUUUCAUGUUUGUGCACACCAUAUCUUAAUGGUGUCUUUAAUUUGUUUUCCCUGUCCCAUUUCAGAAACAGGAGAAAGCAUUCUAGAGAUAGGCUCGCCAAUUAAAUGUUCAAAUCCAUAGAGAUAUGUGUUAUAUUACCCAUGCAGUUUCCUAUGUUGAAAGGAACUAAUUUAGGAAAAAUUGUUGUAUUUUGGGCAUGUUCGUCCCUGCAUGCAUGAGAUGAACCUCACAAACCUACUGGUUGAAUGUACAUUUCUUGUAACUGAAAUUAUCCCUGGCAAUAACCUGUAUCCAGACUUGCAUACUUAACCCAUUUCCAUGCAUUUAGCUGUUUCUGCUUAUAAAUUCAUGUGUAUAAUGAAGCCCAGCCCAGUAUUCACUCUAUAAGUAUGCUGACAGACAGGUGGAACUGUGAUGACCUUGUUCAUGUUGGUGGGCAUUGACUUAGGUCAUUAUAGCUGCUGAGAAAGUGCUUGCCAACAUGUAUUACAGCUCCACAGUCUAGCCUCACAUAAUCAGGUUCUGCUUGUAUGCAGUUGGAGGCAUCCACAAUGAAGCAUUUCCAUUCCCUGAAAAGCAGAGCUGCAUGGGGAAUCAAGCAAGCAGAUAUUUUUACUCAUACAAUUUUCGCUUUGCCAGAAAGCUCAUUGGGUUUUAUUUGGUUUUUGUUUGCCUGUUUGUUUGUUUUUUAUGAGAAUGUCUGUAGGGAAAAGUCAUUUCCACUUAAACUUUUUUUUUUUUUUUUUUCCCCCAGAUUUUGGUAGUAAAUGCAAACAAUUCAAUGAAGAUAAAGAUUCUGCUUGGUAUAUGUUGCACAAGAAAUAUGAAAAAUUUCUAUUAAAACAUAUUCAUUUGAAAUUGGAAGGUGAAGGGGUUCCUGUCAACUAUAAUGUGAAAGACUAGGAGGAUUUGUCCUUAAGGAAGUAACACUUCCCCCAUCAGUUAGCACUCUGUGUGGUAAGGAAAGGAAACAGAAGAGGGUGCAUGGUCACAGCUUCUCCACUCAUCCACGCACGCCUGUUACACCUGCAUGUGUGGAUGCAGAGAUGUCAAGCUCUAAAUUAUACCCAUCCCAUCAGAACAGCCGAGCUUUGAGAACCACCCCACACUGACUGUCGUGAAUGUGAUCCUUUCUUAUAACCUUGACAGGGUUUGAUACAAGACCCUUCUUAGGAUGAGUACGCACAGCGUUGCUAACUUUGAAUAUCACUUUGGGAGGGCAGACAGGGAGAGACUUCACUUUUUUUGAUAAGUCAGCAUCUUAUUUCAUUAUUAUUAAUGAACUAAUGCAUUCACAGUGUGUCUUAAAAGUAAGUUUAAAAAUUCUUCUCAGCUGCUUGUAGCUGGCUACUGAGGAGUUGAACAGGUGCAGGAAAAACCAUGAGUGUGAACAUACAGGACUGAGUGCCAUUUUGAGCACAGAUUCAGAUGUAUGACAACAGUGAGAACAGGCCAGAAAAUUGAAAGCCGUGUGAACAUUAAAAAGCUAGUCAUGAUGACUGGCUUUGGGGGAUCCCUGAGCUGGUUCACAGGGUACCCAUAGGCACAGGGAUGGUUCUGUGUAGGUAUCUAUAAGCGCAUGCUGCAGAAAAUGCAGUUUGAUCUCCUGUUUGGCCACCAACUUCCACUGUAGCUUGGAAAGAGAUGUUGUUCCUUGAUGUGCAUCAUUUUUUUACCUGUAAGACCAUUCAGCAUCUUGCCCAAGAAAAGACCCAGCUGAUGAAACAUUGGCACUCUUUUUGUAGAAUACCAACUAUUUUUUAAAAUAUUGUUUUGACCUCUUUUGUCCUCCAGCUUUUUUCAGAGCUUUUACAGUGACACUGAAGUAAGUGCAGGGUGUGGUUUUGUCAGGUUGUUGUCCCUGCUCUGAGGUUUGUAGGGGCAGCCUGCUUCCUCGUGGCAGUAUGCUUUGCCACUGGAACUCAUUGCUUUCUUUUGCAAAACUUCUGUGUUCUUGGAGAAAUUUUGUGGAUUGCUAGCUAGUCAGUUUUCACUCUGAACAGGUAUGUGCAUGUGUGAAACAAAGAGGGGAAUAAUAUCCUACAAAAUUCAAAGGUUUCAGUAUGACAAUUGUCCUAGUCCACUUUGACACUCCUUUAUGUGUGGUGAAGUACUAUUUUAGCAUAACGAUAAGAUGAAGGUCAAUUCACUUCAGGUGAAUUCACUUUUAGAAGCCUUCAUUUUCUCACUAGCUAUGGAUGCAGAGGUAAUACGACAAGGAUGCUAGCGACAGGCUAUUUCAGCAUUUACUCUUUCCCAGCACCUGGCGCAUCCUGUUCAUCUUUGUCCUCUGUAUUAAGCUCUGUGAAAGACUGUUAGAAAACAGUUGUGGUGCUGGGACCUGAUGAAGUCAGAGGAUGCUGCUGUAUCUUCAUUUCAACCAGAGAUUUUAUGAAAAUAUUAAAGAGUUGUUUCUUAUCUCUGACUAAAUCCGAGGUUUCAUUCUCCAGCACCGUCAAACCAACAUCUUUCUUUAGUAUAAUGUAUACGUGCCUUUACAAAUAUUUUAAAAACAUUCAUCCCUCAUGUGUUGUAACGGAAAACUAACCAUUAAGAUCAAACUUCCUUGCUUGUUCUCCAAGGGUGGAAUUCAAUUAUGCAGAGGAACAAAACAAGGUUUAUGUACCAUCCAAGUGCUUCACAGUCCUAUUUGUGCUGACUCUUUACAAAUGGGUAAACCCUACCACAAAGAAAUAAUUUCUGGGUGAUGUCUGAGUGCCACAAUCAAUUAAAUUUUGUCUGUAGGACCCCUGUCAGUAUUGUAUGGGGAAGAUGGAAGAUAUGCCAAGUGGAGUUUUAUGCCCAGUGGGCCUGGCUCCUGCCCAGCUGAAGUCAGUGGAACUUUUGCCACUCCUUCCAAAAUCAACAGGAUGGCUCCUCCACUUGCUCCCUAUUUCUCUUGCUAAAGCACAGUUUUCUGAUAUUUUCAGGCACUUGUGCUCAUCAGCUUGGAAUCCACACAAGGUUGGGUUUCAUAACAAAAGGCAGCCCUCAUUCUUUUAAAUUUGAGUAGACAGAAGAGAGCAAGGUGAGUCAUUUUUUUUUUUCCUUGCUAAUCUUGAUGGGAUGCUACAGGUUUGCCAAAGAUUACUUGAGUUUUCCUUGGCUAAGGUGUAAGUGAAGACUGCAGCAGUUUGAAGCAAACCCGGGUGGUGUUUUUGUAGGUUUUCCUCUUAAUUCACUGGAAAGGACAAAAUGCACAUGCCUCACUCUCCCAGUGCCGCUCCCUCAGCUGUUUGCAUUUUAGCAGUGUCACCUACUUAAAAAUACUUUGUAUGACCCUCAGUAAAUGAUUUCUCUUAGUCCAAAGCAAUGGGUUGUUCCAGAAAGGUUCCUGUCUCCUCGUAGAGAGCUUACAGCACCUUGCAGACCUGACACAGAGCCUUCAAAGUAAAUAGAAAGUCUCUUAAUGACCUCAAGGAUUUAGAUAGUGAGCCCUGUGGACUGCACGAGACAGGUAACACCAUCAAAAGCACCCAAUAACUACUGUCGGUCCAUAGGUCUUAGUCUCCAAAUCGCUUGGAUGACUCUGAAAAUAUUUAUCCCAGGGCUGGUUAUGCAUUUUCAGCAGUACAGAGCACACGAAUGGUACUCAAUGAAUAAUAUAAAGUUUAUUCUAAGUACAAAAAUCUCUCUUUUCAGGAAAAUGAUCAUUUUAUGCUUUGCUAUUUCUUUUGUGUCAAUCUCUUUGUAAGCAUC
Columba livia (rock pigeon) is the source of this 7656-nucleotide long non-coding RNA. RefSeq lists it as uncharacterized. NCBI's taxonomy places the organism in Eukaryota, Metazoa, Chordata, Aves, Columbiformes, Columbidae. The record is from RefSeq and is a predicted model, not a curated record. The transcript has 4 exons.